Molecule: ribosomal RNA, 1224 nt
Filed under: metagenome
Description: SSU rRNA
Rfam family: Eukaryotic small subunit ribosomal RNA
Source: RNAcentral
CUCAUGGUUUCACGGUAUUGCAAUGAGAACAAUUUAAAACCCUUAGCGAGAAUCAAAUGGAGGACAAGUCUGGUGCCAGCACCCGCGGUAAUUCCAGCUCCACUAGCGUAUAUUAAAGUUGUUGCAGUUAAAAAGCUCGUAGUUGAACCUCUGUCUGGGGCUAGUUUUGGCUUUGGUCAGGCUAGUUCUAGGCAUCCGCCUACAAGACUUAGAGGGCAUUCAGUUGUUCACUAGGAGGAGUAGGCAUUUUACUUUGAAAAAAUUAGAGUGUUUAAGGCAGGCAAUCGCCCGCAUAUAUUAGCAUGGAAUAAUAGAAUAGGACACUUUUCCAUUUCGUUGGUUAUUGGAAUCGUGUAAUGAUUAAUAGGGACAGUUGUGGGCAUUUGUAUUUAAUUGUCAGAGGUGAAAUUCUUGGAUUUAUUAAAGACAAACUAACGCGAAAGCAUUUGCCAAGGAUGUUUUCAUUAAUCAAGAACGAAAGUUAGGGGAUCAAAGACGAUCAGAUACCGUCCUAGUCUUAACUAUAAACUAUUCCGACUCAAUGUUUGACUGGCUUAUAUAACCAGUUGAGCGUUGUAUGAGAAAUCAAAGUCUUUAGGUUCUGGGGGGAGUAUGGUUGCAAAGCUGAAACUUAAAGGAAUUGACGGAAGAGCACAACCAGGAGUGGAUUCUGCGGCUUAAUUUGACUCAACACGGGGAAACUUACCAUGUUAAAACAAUAGUGGGAUUGACAGUUUGAGAGCGCUUUCUUGAUUGGUUGGGUGGUGGUGCAUGGCCGUUCUUAGUUGGUGGAGUGAUUUGUCUGCUUAAUUGCGUUAACGAACGAGACCUUAACCUGCUUACUAGACUGGCGAUCAUCAAUCGUUAGCUCUUCUUAGAGGGACUUUGGUUGUUUUAACUCCAAGGAAGUUUGAGGCAAUAACAGGUCUGUGAUGCCCUUAGAUAUCCUGGGCCGCACGCGUCAUACAAUGACUAGUUCAGAAAGUUUUCUCCUGACCCGAAAGGGGAUGGGUAAUCUUGAUAAUACUAGUCGUGUUAGGGAUCGAUCUUUGCAAUUAUAGAUCUUGAACGAGGAAUUCCUAGUAAGUGCGGUUCAUCAGACCGUACUGAUUACGUCCCUGCUCUUUGUACACACCGCCCGUCGCUUCUGCCGAGUGGGUGGUCCGGUGAGAUAAUUGAACUUCGCAGGUAACUGAGAGGAAAGAUUAUCAAACCUAUCCACCU